UGGCUGCCCGGCCUGGCCCGCCCGCAAACGUAGGUGCCAUCCACCCAGCCUUUAUCCCCAGUCCAAGCACUUCAGCGUGGAGGUCUAGCAAGCCCUGGACAGGACCAGCCAGGUAGAGACAGCUUACAGGAGAAAGAAAGAAGAGGAGGGACUGUCCGAAGUGCCUCGGCACUAUGCCUGCACAGCUGGAUCUCUGGACACGGAGCCCUGGACCGUUUCCACCCAGACACUCCCAUUCCAUCAAGUGGGGGUAAGAAGGAUCAAUGAGAUAAUGGAAGCGAAAGCGCUUUGCAAACUGUAAAGCUCUGGAGAAAGUAAGGGUGUUUUAUUUAUUUAUAACUGACAGUGCAAGGUAAUAGCUGCCCAGGGCCAGCCCACAGGCACAGUCCAAGAGCUGGAAGAGGUCAGAUUUAGAAGCCACCAUUCACUGAUAGAAGGAUUAGGAAAAUAAGACCAGGCACGGGGGCUCACACCUGUAAUCCCAGCACUUUGGGAGGCCGAGGUGGGUAGAUCACGAGAUCAGGAGUUCCAGACCAGCCUGGCCAACAUGGUGAAACCCCAUCUCUACUAAAAAUAAUUAGCCGGGCGUCGUGGUGGGCACCUGUAAUCCCAGCUAAUCAGGAGGCUGAGGCAGGAGAAUCUCUUGAACCCGGGAGGCAGAGGUUGCAGUGAGUUGAGAUCAUGCCAUUGCACUCCAGCCUGGGUGACAGAGCGAGACUCUGUCUCAAAAAAAAAUUUUUAAAAAGAAGGGUUAGGAAAAUAAGAGGCAAAAGUCUCUGACAUCUGUAGACAGCAUGAUUACUUAUAUGGAAAAUCAAGAGAUUCUACGGGGAUAUUAUUAGAGUGAUUAAGUGAAGUCAUGCUGGACAAAUGUCAACAUCCAAAUACAAAAAACCAUAUAAAAUUCAGCAGUGUUUCUACGCACUAUCAAUAGUUUAUUAGAAAUUAUAGUAUCUUUCAAAAAGAAAUCAUUCACAAUAAAAUUAAAACUGUACAAAACCCAGAAAAAAAUUACAAAACACAUUGCAAGAUAUUUAGGAAGUAAAACAUAGGCUACAAUAGUAAUAAAUGGAGAGCCAUAGAGAAGUAUUAGGUUAAGUAUGAGAUGCCUCCAUGUUAUGAAGACGAUUCUCUCCACGUUAAUCUGUUGAUUCAUUGCAGGUCCAAUAAAUAUUCCAACAGGAUUUUUCACAGAGCUAGGCAAACUGAUUCUAAAAUUCAUAGAGAAGAGCAAAGACCCAAGAAAAAAGUAGACAGUUCUGAAAAAGAAUAAGGAAAGAGACCUGGCCCUAACAAAUACCAAGACUUUUUUGAAAGCAAUAGUAAUUAAAACAAUGUGGUAUCGGUGCCGGGCUAGACAAAGGAAUCAAUAGAAUAGAGUGCCCAGAAACAGAUCCAAGUAUAUGUGGGAAUGUGAUUUAUGAUAGUGGCGGCACUGCAACUCAGUGAGAGAGAAUAGACUUCAAUAAAAUGUGUUGUGACAAUUGGCUUUUCCUAUGAAAAAUCUUCACACCAUCCAUAAAUAUGAAUUCCAGAUGGAUUAAAGACCUAAAAAUGAAAAACAAAACUUUAAAAUAAUUAGGAGAAAAUGUAGGAGACGUAAGGGUAGGAAAGCAUUUCUUAGACAGGAGACACACUCAAAAAAGAUCAGCCGAUUUUUAUUACAUUACCCCCCAAAAGCCCUCUGCUAUGAAAAUGAUAUUACGAACAAAGUUAAGAGACAAGGAGCAGCCUGGGUGGCAAUGGUGACAGCAUACACAACAGAUAAAGGGUUAGCAUUCAGAAUAUAAAGACCUCCUAGGAAUCUACAAAAUUAGCUGGGCGUGGUGGUGCGCACCUGUAAUCUCAGCUAUUUGGGAGGCUGAGGCAGGAGAAUUGCUUGAACCUGGGAGGCAGAGGUUGCGGUGAGGCAGAGGUUGCGGUGAGCCAAGAUUGCCCCAUCCCACUCUAGCCUGGGCAACAAGAGCGAAACUCCAUUUAAAAAAAAAAAAACCUCCUAGGAAUCAAUAUGGAAAAGACAGAACUUUUAUUUUAUUUUUAUUUCUUCUUUUUUUUUUUUUGAAACAGGGUCUUGCUCUGUCGCUCAGGCUGGAAUGCAGUGACACAACCUCGGCUCACUGCAACCUCUGCCCCUCCAGGCUCAAGUGAUCUUUCCACAUCAGCCUCCCAAGUAGCUGUGACUACAGGCACAUGCCACCAUGCACGGCUAAUAUAUAUAUAAAACAUAUAUAUAUCAUAUAUAUAUCAUAUAUAUAUAUUUGGUAGAGAUGGGGUCUCACCAUGUUGCUCAGCCUUGUCUGAAACUCCUGGGCUCAAGCAGUCUUCCCACCCUGGCCUCCCAAAAUGCCAAGAUUACAGGUGUGAGCCAGCAAACCUGGCCUAUUUUUUUCUUUCAAGGUACUCAUCAAGUAGUAAGGACAGACAUUUUUUGUGCCACUCUAAAUAGCAUCCCUUCCUUCUUCCUUGAUAAUCAGAACCCCAUUCUGAUUCAGGGGUUUGGGCUUUGUGGGAGGCUUGGCCUUCCUCAACCCCAUCAGGUGAAUGAUGAUUGGUCUAAAUAUAGCAUGAUAAUUUAGUUCCUCUGGUCAAUGAUUGGUUUAGGUGUGAACGUUUAUGCAAUUCUGGAAGGUCUCCUGGUGGGGACCCCUGGGAAAGAGACUAAUAAGAAAGCAUACAGUUUCUUCAGUCUCUGACGUUGUUGUCUGCACAAGAGAGUUAAGGCAGCCAUCUUGGGACCAUGAAGGGGCCAGUCUAAGAGGCAAAUCAACACAAUGAGAGGGUGUUGGAAAAAGACAAAAAGAACCUGGUCCUUGAUGUCACAGCCAGGCCUCUGAAUUAACCACCCCCAGGACUUCUUGUUACGUGAGCUAAUAAAUGUUCCUUUUUGCUUAAACCCCUUCUAGUUGGGCUUUCUGUUGUAACUUGCACCGAAAACUACAAUAGGAUAGCAAAGGAUAUGAACAUAAGUGAUUUGCCUAGAGGAAACCCACAUGGUCAAUGAGAAUAAGAUGCUCAGCCUCAUAGGCAGGGAAUGCAGCUUCAAAUGAGAUGCCACAUCAUGCCUAUCAGAUUGGCAAACAUAAGUCUAACAAGAGCAAAAGUUGGCAAGGAUAUGGUAAAACAGGAUGUCUUGUACAAACGCUGGUGGUGAGAGGAUCAAUUGGUUCAGACGCUGUAGAGAGCAGUUUGGCAGUACUAGUCAACUUCAAAGUGUGCCUGCCCGACAAUCCUAGCUUUCUAAGUAUAUGCCCUAAUAAUGGGUUCAGAGAAAAGUCCAAGCAUGUUCAUUGAAGCCCUGUUUAUAUAACAGCAAAACAGGCCCGGUGCAAUGGCUCAUGCCUGUAAUCCCAGCACUUUGGGAAGCUGAGGCAGGCAGAUCACUUGAGCUCAGGAGU
Gorilla gorilla gorilla (western lowland gorilla) is the source of this 3395-nucleotide long non-coding RNA. RefSeq lists it as uncharacterized. The transcript is spliced from 3 exons. The record is from RefSeq and is a predicted model, not a curated record. Lineage: Eukaryota; Metazoa; Chordata; Mammalia; Primates; Hominidae.